This 669-nucleotide ribosomal RNA is filed under the name Triticum aestivum (bread wheat). RNAcentral's name for it is "partial small subunit ribosomal RNA". Lineage: Eukaryota; Viridiplantae; Streptophyta; Magnoliopsida; Poales; Poaceae. The record is from RNAcentral.
AUGGAUAGUGCGGAAGAUCGACCCUCCUUGGUUGCGGAGGAGAAGGACAAGCAGCCUGUUCCCUUUAGUGACGCUCCGUCUCCAGUGCGCGCCGUGCUCAACCGUCCGUGGCCAUCCGCCGUCGUCAUCCGGCCGGAGGAUAAUCCGUCCGGAAAGUACCGCACUCUGGUGGCUACCGCCAAGGACAUUGGGGACCUGAUCUCGCCGGAGGAGAUAGCCGCGCUGGAGGACAAGGAGGGCGACGACGCAGGCACACGGUUCUAUAAGGCAGCUGCUCGGGCCAACGUCGUUAUGAGGAAUUACAUCCAUGAACACGGCAGCCUUUACAUGGAUGAGAACGGCAAGUACAUGAUGGACAACUCCGACCAAGUUGAGGAAAUACGUUGCAAGCAUGUUACAGCAGAAGAAAUGGAAGCAAAGAUAAUGAAGCAAGAGAUGACUAAGGAGCAAACUUAUUUAUCAGAACUGGCUUUAGCGAGUUUCAACAAGAGGAGAAAGGUGAAGUUUGAGUUGUGUGAGACAUUGCUUUCUAGACUCUUUUACGAGAGCAGACGUAUUUUUACGCACGUAAAUUUCGUUGCCAUGGGCAAGGAUAAGAAAAAACUCUUUUUCGCCGAGAUAGAGGACUGCGGACAGGGUCGUGAAGAGAAUAUUGUUCCACAUGAAUGA